CGAAAGCCUGACGGAGCAAGACCGCGUGGGGGAAGAAGGCUCUUGGGUUGUAAACCCCUUUUCUCUGGGAAGAAAGUUGUGAAAGCAACCUGACGGUACCAGAGGAAUCAGCAUCGGCUAACUCCGUGCCACCAGCCGCGGUAAGACGGAGGAUGCAAGCGUUAUCCGGAAUGAUUGGGCGUAAAGCGUCCGCAGGUGGCAGUUCAAGUCUGCUGUCAAAGACCGGGGCUUAAGUUCGGAAAGGCAGUGGAAACUGAACAGCUAGAGUAUGGUAGGGGCAGAGGGAAUUCCUGGUGUAGCGGUGAAAUGCGUAGAGAUCAGGAAGAACAUCGGUGGCGAAGGCGCUCUGCUGGACCAUAACUGACACUCAGGGACGAAAGCUAGGGGAGCG
RNAcentral lists this ribosomal RNA (391 nucleotides) under uncultured Oscillatoria sp. RNAcentral describes it as "bacterial SSU rRNA". It matches the Rfam family "Bacterial small subunit ribosomal RNA", at positions 376 to 770 of the family's 1533-position model. The record is from RNAcentral. Lineage: Bacteria; Bacillati; Cyanobacteriota; Cyanophyceae; Oscillatoriales; Oscillatoriaceae.